RNAcentral lists this ribosomal RNA (483 nucleotides) under uncultured bacterium. RNAcentral describes it as "partial 16S ribosomal RNA". It matches the Rfam family "Bacterial small subunit ribosomal RNA", at positions 30 to 506 of the family's 1533-position model. The record is from RNAcentral.
AUUGAACGCUGGCGGCAGGCCUAACACAUGCAAGUCGAGCGGAUGAAGGGAGCUUGCUCCUGGAUUCAGCGGCGGACGGGUGAGUAAUGCCUAGGAAUCUGCCUGGUAGUGGGGGAUAACGUCCGGAAACGGGCGCUAAUACCGCAUACGUCCUGAGGGAGAAAGUGGGGGAUCUUCGGACCUCACGCUAUCAGAUGAGCCUAGGUCGGAUUAGCUAGUUGGUGGGGUAAAGGCCUACCAAGGCGACGAUCCGUAACUGGUCUGAGAGGAUGAUCAGUCACACUGGAACUGAGACACGGUCCAGACUCCUACGGGAGGCAGCAGUGGGGAAUAUUGGACAAUGGGCGAAAGCCUGAUCCAGCCAUGCCGCGUGUGUGAAGAAGGUCUUCGGAUUGUAAAGCACUUUAAGUUGGGAGGAAGGGCAGUAAGUUAAUACCUUGCCGUUUUGACGUUACCAACAGAAUAAGCACCGGCUAACUUCGU